Molecule: ribosomal RNA, 406 nt
Filed under: uncultured bacterium
Lineage: Bacteria
Description: partial 16S ribosomal RNA
Rfam family: Bacterial small subunit ribosomal RNA
Source: RNAcentral
AUUGAACGCUGGCGGCAGGCCUAACACAUGCAAGUCGAACGAGUGGCGGACGGGUGAGUAAUGUCUGGGAAACGGCCCGAUGGAGGGGGAUAACUAAUGGAAACGGUAGCUAAUACCGAAUACCAUCGGAUGUGCCCAGAAGGUAUUAGCUAGUAGGUGGGGUAACGGAUCACCUCGGAGAAGAUCCCUAGCUGCGCUGAGAGGAUGACCAGCCAAACUGGAACGGCGACACGGUCACGACUCCUACGUGAGGCAGCAGUGGGGAAUAUAGCGCGAAGGGUGCAAACCUGAUGGAGCCAUGCCGCGUGUAUGAAAAGGGCCUUCGGGUUGUAAGGUACUUUCAGCCAUGACGCGGUAGUGGCAGAAGAAGCAACGGCUAACUACGUGCCAGCAGCCGCGGUAAUUC